This is a non-coding RNA of Xyrichtys novacula (pearly razorfish), 1121 nucleotides long. The record is from the annotation of a GenBank genome assembly. NCBI's taxonomy places the organism in Eukaryota, Metazoa, Chordata, Actinopteri, Labriformes, Labridae.
GCGGCAUACUCAAAACAUCUUUGAGUAGUCAGUAUGCAGUAGGUACUGCUUGAGUAGGUAAGUAGAUAGUAGGCAGUAUGCCAUUUCGGACACAGCCCCAGAAGAUGAACUUCCGCAAUGCUUCCGCAAUUUUGCGGCAGAGAAUAACUUCCAGGUCAUUCUUGUAUUCAUUCAGCGGACGGGCUUUGCGAUGCCAGAACAGUAGGUGGCGGUAUGCACCUAAACUUUCUCACAGUUUGACUACUCAGUUAUAAGUACUUUUCAACACGCAGUGUCAUCCUCAAGGUUGUAUUUUGUAUUGUGCACUAAAAUUAAAUACAAACAACAAUUUCAGCAUGACAUGCCUGUUUUGCGGAGAUGGUUGUGCCUGUUGCUCUUGGAAAACAAUGCUUUGAACAGGUAGACAGUUUAAGUAAAUUAGAUGCCCUAAUUAACUGGAAGACAAUCAAUAUAUUGUACUUAAAGAUAUAUUGUCAUAUAUUGUCAUUACAGUUAUGGGGAAAUCUUUGCCCACUGGACGAAGGAAUGUCAGGAGCUUAUUGCUGGAAAGCAUACUCCAGUCUUCAGGCUUAAGAGGAAGGCCGAGCAGCAGGACACAGAGGUUAGAAAAUUGCCCUCUAAAAACAGUAUUAUCUCAGUGGGAGUCCUUCAAAAUGCACACAGUUGUAUGGAUCAACAUUGUUUCAAUGUAUUUGGUAAUUGAUGUUACUUUUCAAAUUGACUUGUCCAGGAAACCAUGACACAGAUGACAUCUGAUGUCCAAAGAGUGUGCAUGGCAGAUUCCAUGAAAUUCUGUGUCUACCAGACAUCCGACACCACAGGAGAGAGGUUUGUUGCAGACUCAAUUUAAUAAAUGCAAUUAUUGGGGCCUAUUCAGUGAUUUUCCAUGAAGUGACCACUUUUACAUGUAGUUUUUUUGCACGAAUCAUGCGGGAAAAUUAUUAAUACAUUCAAAUGUGCUGCAGAUGUAUAAUCAAUUGGAUAGCGUGUGUGUUUAAUAUUAAGUUUGUCUCUCAUUUGAUCAGACUGCUUUACCCUGAGGUAAAGUUUGUAAAAUGGGUCCAGUGCAAGACAUGCAGGGGCUGGCUGCAUCAAGAUUGUGCCGGAAUUGACAUGGAGCC